GAUGAACGCUGGCGGCGUGCCUAAUACAUGCAAGUCGAGCGAACAGACGCGGCUCUUGCUCCUCUGACGUUAGCGGCGGACGGGUGAGUAACACGUGUAUACCCUCCCUAUCAGACUGGGAUAACUUCGGGACACCGGCUCUAAUACCGUAUAAUCUAUUGCACCGCAUGGUUCAAUAGUGAAAGUCGGUUUUUCUGUCACUUCUCGCUGGAUCUGGGCCGCAUUAGCUAGUUGGUAAGGUACCGGCUUACCACGGCAACGAUGCGUAGCCGACCUGAGAGGGGGAUCGGCGACACUGGAGGGGAGACAGGGUCAAGAGUCCUAAGGGAGGCAGCAGUAGGGAAUCUGCGGCAAUGGGCGAGAGCAUGACGGAGCAAGGGCGCGUGAGUGAUGAAGGGCUUGGGAGCGGAAAAAUCUGUUAUUAGGGAAGAACAAAUGUGGAAGGAAAUAUGCACGGAGUGACGGUAACGAAUAAGAAAGCAACGGCUAACUACGUG
RNAcentral lists this ribosomal RNA (497 nucleotides) under uncultured bacterium. RNAcentral's name for it is "partial 16S ribosomal RNA". It matches the Rfam family "Bacterial small subunit ribosomal RNA", at positions 28 to 507 of the family's 1533-position model. The record is from RNAcentral.